AAAAGGUAUCAAGAUAUCACAAGGGCUCACAUCCAUCUCGGGACUGUUGUGCAACUGGCAGGUACUAGGUAUUGCAGAAUGGCAAGAGGCCACACAUACACAGACACAUGAAAAUAUGGGUGCCAGAUGGGACUCCCUAAAGAGAAUCAUCAAAAACAGCUCCACAUUCAUACCUUUUUUAUUAAUUUAUGGUGAAAGGAGUGUCUGAGGACUAACUUCAGAGAAGUUGGAAAAUGUGUUGUAAUACAGGAAAGGAACCUGCUGUGAAACACGACAAAGAUGUAUUUCCCUAAACUAGGCUUGAAAAACAUUCUCCAGGAAGACUUCCUCAAGCUGCCUAAUCUUAGAUUCCUUCCCUUGUGCUAGUUGUACCCUUGGAAAACUCUAUUUUGGCCACCUACCAUGCCAGAUUGUUAGUAUUUGGUUUAACUGUCUUCUGUAAUAAAUCAGCUUUCUGAGGGCAGAAUAUACCUUUUUCAUCUCUGUAUCUUUAGGUCCUAGCCCAGUAAUUGGUCCAUCAUAGGCUGUAAUAACAGAACUCACUUCUCCUUGGUUUACCAGUAU
This 564-nucleotide long non-coding RNA is filed under the name Marmota monax (woodchuck). The record is from RNAcentral. Lineage: Eukaryota; Metazoa; Chordata; Mammalia; Rodentia; Sciuridae.